This 573-nucleotide ribosomal RNA is filed under the name Saccharomyces cerevisiae (brewer's yeast). RNAcentral describes it as "eukaryotic LSU rRNA". It matches the Rfam family "Eukaryotic large subunit ribosomal RNA", at positions 77 to 664 of the family's 3401-position model. Lineage: Eukaryota; Fungi; Ascomycota; Saccharomycetes; Saccharomycetales; Saccharomycetaceae. The record is from RNAcentral.
GCCUUAGUACGGCGAGUGAGCGGCAAAAGCUCAAAUUUGAAAUCUGGUACCUUCGGUGCCCGAGUUGUAAUUUGGAGAGGGCAACUUUGGGGCCGUUCCUUGUCUAUGUUCCUUGGAACAGGACGUCAUAGAGGGUGAGAAUCCCGUGUGGCGAGGAGUGCGGUUCUUUGUAAAGUGCCUUCGAAGAGUCGAGUUGUUUGGGAAUGCAGCUCUAAGUGGGUGGUAAAUUCCAUCUAAAGCUAAAUAUUGGCGAGAGACCGAUAGCGAACAAGUACAGUGAUGGAAAGAUGAAAAGAACUUUGAAAAGAGAGUGAAAAAGUACGUGAAAUUGUUGAAAGGGAAGGGCAUUUGAUCAGACAUGGUGUUUUGUGCCCUCUGCUCCUUGUGGGUAGGGGAAUCUCGCAUUUCACUGGGCCAGCAUCAGUUUUGGUGGCAGGAUAAAUCCAUAGGAAUGUAGCUUGCCUCGGUAAGUAUUAUAGCCUGUGGGAAUACUGCCAGCUGGGACUGAGGACUGCGACGUAAGUCAAGGAUGCUGGCAUAAUGGUUAUAUGCCGCCCGUCUUGAAACACGGAA